Long non-coding RNA from Asparagus officinalis (garden asparagus), 519 nucleotides. RefSeq lists it as uncharacterized. The record is from RefSeq and is a predicted model, not a curated record. Lineage: Eukaryota; Viridiplantae; Streptophyta; Magnoliopsida; Asparagales; Asparagaceae. The transcript has 3 exons.
AUGGGAGUAUGGUUAUCGCAAUCAAUCCAGGCGAGAGGAGGAGGAGGAGGAUACAUGGGACAACCCUGGGGCCUUCUACUCUUGGCUGCGAGCAUGGCUUCUUCUCUAGCGCUACUCUUAUGAUGCACUUGUACAGAAGGGAAACUCGUGUCUGCUUAAAUUCACAGCUACUGAAGAAGAUUGAUGAAGGCUGUCAAUUCAAAGAGAUAUAUUGACCCUAUCAGCAUCUAUGAACAUCAAGGCUUCCUUCUAACGAGUCCUUAUAAUCUGAGACAAUGUGCUAUAAUGAUAUUAUCCUUCAUGCUCAAGGUGUAGAGAGAAAUGAACAUGCUCUUGACAGGUAAAAAAAGAGAGAAAAAAGAAAAAGAAAAAAAGAAAACGAGUUUGUAAUCCUUGUAAAUGAUUGUAAAUGAAGUUAUUAUAAAUCAUGCAUAAUAUCUGAGCUUCCUAGGUCGGUCGCGCUUGUAUGCGCUGCAGAUUUCGAUCCUAUGUCAAGCAUUAUUUAUGAGUUUCGUAGUA